This 328-nucleotide ribosomal RNA is filed under the name uncultured eukaryote. RNAcentral describes it as "partial 18S ribosomal RNA". It matches the Rfam family "Eukaryotic small subunit ribosomal RNA", at positions 1470 to 1796 of the family's 1831-position model. The record is from RNAcentral.
CCCUUAGAUGUUCUGGGCUGCACGCGCGCUACACUGAUACUUUCAGCGAGUCCACCACCUUGCCUGGGAGGGUGGGGUAACCUCUGGAAAGUGCAUCGUGAUGGGGAUCGAUUAUUGUAAUUAUUAAUCUUCAACGAGGAAUUCCUAGUAAGCAUGUGUCAUCAGCCCGUGCUGAUUACGUCCCUGCCCUUUGUACACACCGCCCGUCGCUCCUACCGAUUGAGUGAUCCGGUGAGGCUUUGGGAUCUGAGCGGAAAGAGCGUUUCGCUGUUUCUGCUCGGAAAACUCAGUCGAACCUUAUCAUUUAGAGGAAGGAGAAGUCGUAACA